UUCGGUGAGUGGAAAGUGGCGGACGGGUGAGUAAUGUGUAGAGAAUCUGCCCUUGAGAGGGGGACAACAGCUGGAAACGGUUGCUAAUACCCCAUAUGAGAUAUUUUGCAAUAAAUAUCUUGAAAACUCCGGUGCUCAAGGAUGAGUCUGCAUCUGAUUAGCUAGUUGGGGGUGUAAUGGACCACCAAGGCAACGAUCAGUAGCUGGUUUGAGAGGAUGAUCAGCCACAAUGGGACUGAGACACGGCCCAUACUCC
Molecule: ribosomal RNA, 256 nt
Filed under: uncultured bacterium
Lineage: Bacteria
Description: partial 16S ribosomal RNA
Rfam family: Bacterial small subunit ribosomal RNA
Source: RNAcentral